RNAcentral lists this long non-coding RNA (270 nucleotides) under Elaeis guineensis (African oil palm). Its description in RNAcentral is "long non-coding RNA (EGUI_LNC074890)". Lineage: Eukaryota; Viridiplantae; Streptophyta; Magnoliopsida; Arecales; Arecaceae. The record is from RNAcentral.
UAGUCAGUCUGCGUGGCGUGGGGUGCGGAUGGAGUGGCUUUCACGGAGGAAAGCUCAGGUGGGGGCCGUGGGGCUGCUGGAACCUGACUCCCUGACUUGAAAACAACAAAAAGCGAGUAGGCUGGUUCCUGUUUUGGAGAAAAAAACUAGGAUAGAGGCGUAGCAGCACUGUACGCCCACUACUGUUCCAGCCUCCUUUUUCUUCACCUCGACAUAAAGAGUAAAUAUUCAGCCACUCCAUCGCACACCCCGCGCCACGCAGACUGGACA